AUAAUGGGUCAGCGACUUAUAUUCUGUAGCAAGGUUAACCGAAUAGGGGAGCCGAAGGGAAACCGAGUCUUAACUGGGCGUUAAGUUGCAGGGUAUAGACCCGAAACCCGGUGAUCUAGCCAUGGGCAGGUUGAAGGUUGGGUAACACUAACUGGAGGACCGAACCGACUAAUGUUGAAAAAUUAGCGGAUGACUUGUGGCUGGGGGUGAAAGGCCAAUCAAACCGGGAGAUAGCUGGUUCUCCCCGAAAGCUAUUUAGGUAGCGCCUCGUGAAUUCAUCUCCGGGGGUAGAGCACUGUUUCGGCAAGGGGGUCAUCCCGACUUACCAACCCGAUGCAAACUGCGAAUACCGGAGAAUGUUAUCACGGGAGACACACGGCGGGUGCUAACGUCCGUCGUGAAGAGGGAAACAACCCAGACCGCCAGCUAAGGUCCCAAAGUCAUGGUUAAGUGGGAAACGAUGUGGGAAGGCCCAGACAGCCAGGAUGUUGGCUUAGAAGCAGCCAUCAUUUAAAGAAAGCGUAAUAGCUCACUGGUCGAGUCGGCCUGCGCGGAAGAUGUAACGGGGCUAAACCAUGCACCGAAGCUGCGGCAGCGACGCUUAUGCGUUGUUGGGUAGGGGAGCGUUCUGUAAGCCUGUGAAGGUGUACUGUGAGGUAUGCUGGAGGUAUCAGAAGUGCGAAUGCUGACAUAAGUAACGAUAAAGCGGGUGAAAAGCCCGCUCGCCGGAAGACCAAGGGUUCCUGUCCAACGUUAAUCGGGGCAGGGUGAGUCGACCCCUAAGGCGAGGCCGAAAGGCGUAGUCGAUGGGAAACAGGUUAAUAUUCCUGUACUUGGUGUUACUGCGAAGGGGGGACGGAGAAGGCUAUGUUGGCCGGGCGACGGUUGUCCCGGUUUAAGCGUGUAGGCUGGUUUUCCAGGCAAAUCCGGAAAAUCAAGGCUGAGGCGUGAUGACGAGGCACUACGGUGCUGAAGCAACAAAUGCCCUGCUUCCAGGAAAAGCCUCUAAGCAUCAGGUAACAUCAAAUCGUACCCCAAACCGACACAGGUGGUCAGGUAGAGAAUACCAAGGCGCUUGAGAGAACUCGGGUGAAGGAACUAGGCAAAAUGGUGCCGUAACUUCGGGAGAAGGCACGCUGAUAUGUAGGUGAAGUCCCUCGCGGAUGGAGCUGAAAUCAGUCGAAGAUACCAGCUGGCUGCAACUGUUUAUUAAAAACACAGCACUGUGCAAACACGAAAGUGGACGUAUACGGUGUGACGCCUGCCCGGUGCCGGAAGGUUAA
This 1283-nucleotide ribosomal RNA is filed under the name Escherichia coli. RNAcentral's name for it is "partial 23S ribosomal RNA". It matches the Rfam family "Bacterial large subunit ribosomal RNA", at positions 612 to 1880 of the family's 2925-position model. The record is from RNAcentral. Lineage: Bacteria; Pseudomonadati; Pseudomonadota; Gammaproteobacteria; Enterobacterales; Enterobacteriaceae.